Molecule: small RNA, 166 nt
Filed under: uncultured Enterococcus sp.
Lineage: Bacteria; Bacillati; Bacillota; Bacilli; Lactobacillales; Enterococcaceae
Description: Listeria sRNA rli28
Rfam family: Listeria sRNA rli28
Source: RNAcentral
UUUGUGGUAUAACAACAGAAAAGUAAUGUUUGUGACGGUGGCUAUCUUUUGAAAGGUGGUGGUGCUUAUGAAAAUAAGUGCUAACUCUUUAGAAAGUAGAAGCCUUUUGUCUGUAGCUUAAGCAUUAGGGGGAAUGAUUAGUUUCGGUUCUUUAAUCGCAACGAUC